Molecule: long non-coding RNA, 273 nt
Filed under: Elaeis guineensis (African oil palm)
Lineage: Eukaryota; Viridiplantae; Streptophyta; Magnoliopsida; Arecales; Arecaceae
Description: long non-coding RNA (EGUI_LNC061245)
Source: RNAcentral
GAUUUGUCACCUUUUUUAGUCUUUAGGUUCUCCAGAUAGAGUGGAUGAUUCCUCGUCCAAUGGCCGUCAUCAUCAUAGUGGAAAUACUUUUUCUUAUUAACAGCCUUCUUGAGAAUGUCCUUCUUUAGCUUGCUCUCCUUCUUCUGUUUCUUUACGGAUUUACUCUUUUUCUUCGAACCAGACUUUCUCUUGGAUGAAGAAGUUCGCUCUAUAGUGAGAAUAGUACCCCUUGGACUCUUCAAGAUUCCCUUAGCAAUGACCAACUUGUUAACC